RNAcentral lists this non-coding RNA (101 nucleotides) under Limnohabitans sp. 103DPR2. Its description in RNAcentral is "TPP riboswitch aptamer (THI element)". It matches the Rfam family "TPP riboswitch aptamer (THI element)". From Rfam's summary of the family: Vitamin B(1) in its active form thiamin pyrophosphate (TPP) is an essential coenzyme that is synthesised by coupling of pyrimidine and thiazole moieties in bacteria. The previously detected thiamin-regulatory element, thi box was extended, resulting in a new, highly conserved RNA secondary structure, the THI element, which is widely distributed in eubacteria and also occurs in some archaea. Analysis of operon structures identified a large number of new candidate thiamin-regulated genes, mostly transporters, in various prokaryotic organisms. Lineage: Bacteria; Pseudomonadati; Pseudomonadota; Betaproteobacteria; Burkholderiales; Comamonadaceae. RNAcentral also lists the same sequence under 1 other name. The record is from Rfam by way of RNAcentral.
CACAUCCGCUAGGGGUGUUUUGGCUGACCAGCCAAGACUGAGAAAGUCCCUUUGAACCUGAUUGAGGUAAUCCUCGCGCAGGGAAGCUUGUCUAAACAACG